GACGAACGCUGGCGGCGUGCCUAAUACAUGCAAGUCGAGCGCUGAAGGUUGGUCUUUGUUCCGUAUGGAUGAGCAGCGAACGGGUGAGUAACGCGUGGGGAAUCUGCCUUUGAUCGGGGGACAACUGGGGGAAACGAAUGCUAAUACCGCAUAAAAACUUUAAACACAAGUUUUAAGAUUGAAAGAUGCAAUUGCAUUACUCAAAGGUGAUCCCGCGUUGUAUUAGCGAGUUGGUGGGGUAAAGGCUCACCCAGGCGAGGAUACAUAGCCGACCUGAGGGGGGGUAGGGCCCCAUUGGGACUGUGACGCGGCCCAAGCACCUAGGGGAGGCAGCAGUAGGGACGCUUCGGAGAUGGACGGAAGACUGACCGAGCGACGCCGGGCGGGUGAAGAAAGGUCUCGGGGCGUAAGACUCCGUUGGUGGUGAAGAACGUUGGUGAGAGUGGAAAACUCAUUUAGUGACGGUACCUACACAGAAAGCGACGGCUAACUACGUG
Molecule: ribosomal RNA, 497 nt
Filed under: uncultured bacterium
Lineage: Bacteria
Description: partial 16S ribosomal RNA
Rfam family: Bacterial small subunit ribosomal RNA
Source: RNAcentral